UAUGCUAAUGCCACAUUUUCGGUUGAUUCAGCAAAAGAGAGUCAUGGAUAUGCAAAGACAGUACGAGUGAACCUACCUUCUUUGAGAGGUUUGGUAGGGAGAAAGAUUUUAAGCGAAGCUAUGGCUAGGAAAGCUGCAGGCAGUGGACUGAACUAUAGUUGUUUGAAAUUAGCAUACACAAGGAAUGGAGUGUAUGGUAUAAGAAAUGUUUUUGGAGAGAAGUGUGGUAUGAAAGGGGUAAGAGUGACCAGAUCUUCAAAAAUUGCUGACACUGUUGGGCGAUAUUUUUCAGAGCUGCAAGUGUGUGUAAAUGAGGUAUAAGCAAAACUGACAAUGUAUGAUCAAAGAUCAAUUCAAAAUAUUUUGAUUUAUAGCUCUAGAUAUAUACUGUUAACAAAUAUGUCUGUCAUUCUUUGGUAUGCCAAUCAACAAGUUUUUAGCUUUGUGUAAGUGUUUGGAAACCUUAUAAGUCUAAAAGUGGAAAUGAUAUUAUGGCAGAAUAAUGUGUCAAUAUAUACUUGUUGCAAUUUUUCUACAAACUCACUAAGUAUUUGGAUAAGUUAGCUAAAUACAAAGUAUACAAUCCACACCAUUCUUAUUUUAUUAAUGCCUACAUUAGAUGGCUAUCAGUGAUAUAAUGGCAAAAUUCUGCUGAAUAUUUACCAAUUGCCAUGUAUUGAACUUCAUAUUUUGAGCUUGAAAAAAAACUUUUGAAAGUUUGAAAAGUGGAAUUAAACUCAAACUUCAUACAGUGCUUAUGUGGCAGGAUCGAUUUUAAUAUAUUGUUAAUUGUAUUGUCUCCGUAAUUGUUUCGUCGUAUAGUGAUUAGUUCCCGUUUAUUCUGUACAUCGUCUGAGCGUAUAUUCUAGUUAUUGUGUCAUAUGUUGUGUCAUAUAGUCAUUGGUCAGUUUAGUCUUUGUCUUACGUCAUAGUCAUAUGUCUUAUUUCAUUGGUUAUUCGAUUUCGCGGUAUUUCUUAUGUUCCGGUCAUUGUUUCAUUAUGUGACUUGUCAGCGAACGGAACAUACCGUUUGUGGUGUUGAUACAAGCUUAAGAAUAUCGACGUCAUGUAAUCCUUGAUGGGCCUACACCGUAAUUGAGACCAUGAACACUACCCACCUAUUGUAUGGAGGCCUAGAGCCGAGGGCCGAAUAGCUGUACUGAUUUAUGUACUCCGAGAUCCUACUCGUCCUAUGAACUUUAUGCCUGUUGUGUACCUUCCCUGUUUUGGAAGGAUGGACCGACAUAACCUGCGUGGUAUGUCUGAGCGGUGAUACACAUCGCGGCAGAGAUGUGACAUUGUUAUUGAUGACGUCACAGUUGUUGAGAUAUUCAACGUCUUGGGAUCAUCAUUACAGACGUAGAGAUUCUGUUCUACUAUAACGUUGAUUCCCUGUUGUGGAUGCUGACCAUGUUCAGUACAUGUAUAUUGAGCACUGCGUGUGUGACUUUGUUCUGCUAUAUAAGACGGCACUGAUGAGAUCCUGAGGGACCUAUGACGGAGACAUUGUUGUUCAUGUUCAUCUGGAGCUUAGCAACCUAACUGUGUGGACUCGGUGUUCAACUGUGGUGGCCUUUGAGAGACUUGUAGGGAAUAGGGUGUCUAUGUUUAUGUGUUUUUGCGUAUGUGUCUAUGAAUGUAUCAGAGUGUGUUGUAUGUAAGAUUGUGUGAUGAGCGUGUUUAUAAAUAAAUGUUAAUAUACAUGCUUGUACAAAUUGUAAAUAAAUCUUGUAUAUAUUGUA
Long non-coding RNA from Pecten maximus, 1742 nucleotides. RefSeq lists it as uncharacterized. The transcript has 2 exons. The record is from RefSeq and is a predicted model, not a curated record. Lineage: Eukaryota; Metazoa; Mollusca; Bivalvia; Pectinida; Pectinidae.